RNAcentral lists this long non-coding RNA (1090 nucleotides) under Equus asinus (donkey). RNAcentral describes it as "lncRNA (ENSEASG00005024079.1)". Lineage: Eukaryota; Metazoa; Chordata; Mammalia; Perissodactyla; Equidae. The record is from RNAcentral.
AUUGUGUUGGGACACUUUCAGAGUAAGUCCCGAAGACACUUCAUGAUCUAGAGAAAUACUGACUGAAAUGCCAACGCACUCAAUUGUGAUUCUUUGCUUUCUCUGUCAAAGAGAACUUCAACUGUAUUUGGGACUGAAGACAAUAAUACAACACAAGAGAGAGAGAGAGAAAAGGUUUGCUACUACUCUUUGCUAGGUUCUUCAGAGGAAUCACCUACUUCACACGUGUAACUAGCUCAAGUGGAGGGAAAAGUGAGGAAGCCAGAAGGGGGAAGCGCAGGUUUCCCAGGGCAGCCUCGUGGCAUUUCUCUGUGAAUAGGUAAAAAGGAGAUGAGAGUAAUUCAAGCUAAGGGAGCAAACAGCAGGGACAGAGCGUCCCUCCCUCCCUGUCUGUAGAAAUCAGCAGAUAGCACACCUGCUGCUGCUCAAGCUCCCUCUGCCAAGCAGAGCAGCACAGCUGCAAGACACUGCUUCUGGCCGGCUGCUCUGAGCUCUGCCUGUCUUCUGGGAUGGAGCCCCGCCCAAGGCAAGUUCAACUGGGUUCUUUGGCAGCUGAAGUCUACACGGACCCAGCAGGGAGCGGCGGAGAAAAAGGUUUGGAUCCAGGGAAUCUUCAGAGAAGUACAAAAGGCUCCUGCCAAGGCACCAAUUUAACAAUUUGAUUCUGGAAGCCACCUGCAUUCCUUGGUUUGUAUCCCUGUCCCCCAUCCUCAAAGCCAGCAAAGAUUUCUGAAUCUCUCCAAACAUCUGUUUUCUUCAUUCUGAAAUAAGGACAGAAAUUAAAGGGAUGUUGGGAAGCAAAGUAUCUGAUGCGGCUCACCAAGGAGUGAAAAUAUGUUUUGGAUGAACCAUUCACAUAUUUCAACCUGGUGCUCCUUGUGGCUGUUCCAAGAGACCAAAGACACAUUUUUGAGGGCGAUGUUACUGGUCACAUGUAGAGUAGGAGGCCAAGUGGACAUAUCUUUGAAUGGAGUUUAUGCUAGAAAGUCAUUAUUAGAUUGUUUGCUUCUGAUAUGAAGGGUUCUUAAUGAGUGGUUUGCAAAAUUGAUUCUAGUUAUUUUUCAGUCAGUUUAAAAUCAGUAACAAAGAU